UUAAUAAGCUCAUUCAAAUAAUAAAUAAUUUCAAUAAAGCAGCGAUGGAUGUACGAAUAAUGUAUUUUAUAUUUAAAAUCGACAUAUAUAUGUAUAUAAUGUUUGGCAACCUUUGUUGUUAUCCAAACGAUGCAUUCAAUGAAUUAAAUAUUGGGGAAACGAUAUAAUGGAAAGCACUUUCUUCUUAAUUGCAAAAAGAUUUAAAAAGAUAUACUUUUCUAUAGAAAAUACAUUGUACACAUGCAAUAUCGCAUGUGCAAAAUAUAAUUAUAUUAUUCUUUUCAAAUAGAGACAUAUACUUACACCUCCUGUCAUUUUGUGCAUAUAACAAUUAAGAUGAUUUAAAGUAACUGCUACUACUGUUAAAGAUGCCUAAAUAUUAUUUUAGUACAUUGUAAAGAUUUCAUAUAUAUUUCAUUUAUUGUUUUCGUGCAUAUUAUGAUUUAUGAUCGUAUAUGUAUUUUAAAAGUUAAAUGGUAUUUGAGGUAUUGUGCAACAUCUCGGUCAUUAUGCUCAGCAUCGUACUGGCAGUGUUCUAAAUUCAAUCAAACUCGUGGAUAAACAUUAUCAUUUAUUGAUAUUAAUUAAAUUAUUCAAAUAUUAAAUAUAUUAAUAACGUAAAUUUAAGAAAUGUUAUUAUUAUAAAGAUACAGAUUAAGUAAAAAUAUUGAAAUAUCACUUUACUCGUUAUUACUAAAUUUCAUAUAAUGAUUUAUAUUUCCUCUGUGUAUGUGGAUUUUGUAUAUUGUAUCGCGUAUUUUCAUUAGGUCAAUUAACCCUUUCACUACUAUGAACAUAAUGUUCAUGUUUGCUAAAAUAAUUUUCAGUAAAACGUGAAGAAAUAUUCAAGAUUAUUUAUAUAAAAAUAUAAAACAUGUAAAAAAAAAGUAUAAAAAAUUUUACAUCUGUAACAUUGUUAAUUAGAUAAUUUAAUAUAUAAACCAACAAAAUUGCUAUCAGAACAACUCUAUUAAACGGAAUAUGUGUAUGCGUUAAUAGUAUGCGUUUCAUACUGCCAUCUGUAGAAUAUUGUACGAAAAUCAGUAGAAUAUUUGUAGCGAAAGGGUUAAGCAUUCCAUCAUUUUCUAUAAAAAUUGAUAUGUACAUUCCGUUCGUCCUUAAAAUUUCUGAUGAAAUUCUUUUAUCAUUUAGGGAAAAUUGGCAGAAUUGUUUGCGUUUUAUGUCAUCUCUUGUUGCAUGUAAUAUAAAUCUAAAAUUUGUGUGAUUUAAAAAUUUGCCAGAGGUUGAACAUAUAUUUUUGUUCAUACGUGUUAGGACAUCUCUGGAAAAGUCAUUAGGGAAUUAUAAACAUUUUAAAGAAUUUAUUAUUAUUCUAUUUGGAAUCAUUGAUUAUAAGAAAUCCAUAUAUUCAAUAUUUUGGUUAAAAAUCAACUAUUUGUAAAAUUGGAUAGUUUUCUUGUCCAUGUACAUAGAUAUCUCAACUUUCGUAUUACUAGAUAUUCUAUCGUAAUUAUUUUUAUUUGUUGCAGUAUAUAAUUUGACAACAAUAAAUAUUAAUUAUUUAAUAAAUCAGAUUCAGAUUUUCGAUAGACUUUUCAGAGUUUCCUAUUUUGUCGUAACACCGUAACACUUAGAAAUAAUUUUUUUUUUACAAUAAAUUUCCUGUUGUGUUUUGAAUUGUUAUGUCGCACGAAUACAAAGUUCUGACCAAUUAAUCAUGAAAAUGUGGCUUAAUUAAUAAGAUCUUUAAUAAGAUCAACGGUGUCCUAAUACUUAUGAAAGUAAUGUAUGUUGAAUUUUUUCGGUAUUUACCAUGCCAUAGGGUUUACAUCUUAUUAUUUUUAAAGUUUAUGAACGCGUAUUGUGUAACCUUAAUCUCCAUUUUGUAAGAGGAUGUUUAUAUUAGUUGUUGAUGCUGUUUGGUAUUUUCCAUCAUACAUUCUUGCAGUGUUUCUAGAAAUGCUAUCGCAGAGGUCAUAAAAAUACUUUAUUGUUGUUAGUAAAAUGUUAGAUUUCAAUUCUUGUAGGUUUCGUAUUUUCGUUAUUACAUAUUAGCAGUCAUUUGAUAUCGAUGUUAAGUGAAUAAAAGCACUCAUUGAAAAUA
This is a long non-coding RNA of Bombus impatiens (common eastern bumble bee), 2065 nucleotides long. RefSeq lists it as uncharacterized. The record is from RefSeq and is a predicted model, not a curated record. NCBI's taxonomy places the organism in Eukaryota, Metazoa, Arthropoda, Insecta, Hymenoptera, Apidae. The transcript is spliced from 2 exons.